UUUCCCCUUUCUUACCCCAAACUCACACUUCACCCUCCCAAACACCCACACCUUGGCAAGCAACAAGCUGUUAGCAGAACCAAAAACAUACAUUUAUCGGUCCAUCUGUAAGAUUUGUCUGCAGGAGCCACAGAAUAUACAGUAUAUCUACUGUAUCUACAGCAUCCUCCUCCUCUCCAUUUCUGACUUAACUGGCUGUGCCCUGCAGUGGAAGGUCUCCAGGGUGUUAAGGUCCACGCAGGGAGUUAUUCCCACAGCAAUGCUGCGGAGCGAGCUGUCACUGGCUCAGCAAACAGGAGGCACAGAGGCUAAACGCCUGUUCCUGCCAAGGGAACAAGGAAGCAGAGGAGAAAAACGAUGGACAGGAGCAAAAGGCACAUCACUGCCUCCAUCAAGUUCUAGGAAAAGAUGGAUUUUUACAACCCUUUGCUUUAAGAAGUGCUGAAAAGAAGCCAUACCUCCUCUCGGGCACAGUGGAAGCCAUCUGACACGCUCCAUUACGUUGUGCUUGUUCCAAUUAAAGUUGACACCAUUUGCUGUCAAGAGCAUGGUGAUACCCUGCAGAAAGGGGAACACUAACUUGGAGGCCUGAAACAGCAGACUGACCACGACGAAUCUAUUUGGCUCUCAAAACAGCUGAGUAAAAGUUAAUCAGCAGCCUCCUUCUUUUUUCCUAUCUAUCUAUCUUUGGCUCCCUUGAUGUUUAGAUAAUCUGUAAAUAUAUUUUACUUUGCAAGCAUGUCAUAUUACCUGUAUCAACUUUCAGACUUUAACUGUAUUUUCCGAUGCUUUUCGGUGAAGCUACUUUUAGAAAAUUCAUCCAUGGUGACUGUUUACCUAAUUUGAUUUGACUGGAACUUUUCUCUGAACGUCUCAUCAAGCAGAGUAAUGUUAAUGUACAGAAUCAGGGGACAGUAGAGCCCCCAUGAAAACUGUCUGUUGGGCACUCAAAGCAAUGAGGCUGAGAGAAAGUUAAUCAGAAGGCCCCUCCUUUAAUGAAAUGACCCCAAGUAAAGUUGUGGAGAAGCUCAAUAUGUUUCCUCUACAGCGGGCUGCAGUCCACCGACCACCCAGAACCAAUCUGAGGCUUAUGACGGCGGUGGGGGAGAAGAUACAUUAGGCCUCCCUCCAGUGGGUAAUGAAUGGAACUAAUAGGAAUAGGCAAUCCUGGUCCACACAACUAAUAUAUUUAGAAAAAUACUAGAUGCAGCCUCUGUUGUUUGUUCCUAAAGCAUACUGUGAUGCCAGCUUCGAACUUCUUCUAGUUCCAAAAUGUAGCCAUUUUGAUCUUAAUAGCAAUCUGUGUAACUGAAAGUUAAUUGAAAGUGUAAAAUAAUGUCUUGACAUCAUUGGACAUAGCAAGCUAUAAAGUUAAAUUAUUUCUGCAAUGACUAAGAAUAGUGAAAUAUUUCAACAUAUCUCACAUGAUUGGCACAAAAUUUGGUAGAGACAUUCAUGGUUCCCAGAAGAUGUAGCUUCAGACUUUGGUGAUCCUGACUUUUCAUGCAGUGCCACCGUGAGGUUGACAUUUGUGUUUGAGUGUUAGAAAUGUCUCAACAACUAUUACAUGGAUUGCCAUGAAAUUUGGUAAGCUUACAGACAUUGAUGUUCCCCAGAGGAUAAAUUGUUAGAACUUUGGUAAUCUUUAAUAUAGUGUCAUCAUCAGGUCAAAAUUUUAAUUUGUCCAACACUUUGAUGUAUGACUAAAUACCUGCAAAACUAAUGACA
Long non-coding RNA from Siniperca chuatsi (mandarin fish), 1728 nucleotides. RefSeq lists it as uncharacterized. The record is from RefSeq and is a predicted model, not a curated record. The transcript is spliced from 3 exons. Lineage: Eukaryota; Metazoa; Chordata; Actinopteri; Centrarchiformes; Sinipercidae.